RNAcentral lists this ribosomal RNA (493 nucleotides) under uncultured bacterium. Its description in RNAcentral is "partial 16S ribosomal RNA". It matches the Rfam family "Bacterial small subunit ribosomal RNA", at positions 27 to 507 of the family's 1533-position model. The record is from RNAcentral.
GAGUGAACGCUGGCGGUAGGCCUAACACAUGCAAGUCGAACGGCAGCACAGUAAGAGCUUGCUCUUACGGGUGGCGAGUGGCGGACGGGUGAGGAAUACAUCGGAAUCUACUUUUUCGUGGGGGAUAACGUAGGGAAACUUACGCUAAUACCGCAUACGACCUACGGGUGAAAGCAGGGGAUCUUCGGACCUUGCGCGAUUGAAUGAGCCGAUGUCGGAUUAGCUAGUUGGCGGGGUAAAGGCCCACCAAGGCGACGAUCCGUAGCUGGUCUGAGAGGAUGAUCAGCCACACUGGAACUGAGACACGGUCCAGACUCCUACGGGAGGCAGCAGUGGGGAAUAUUGGACAAUGGGCGCAAGCCUGAUCCAGCCCUACCGCGUGGGUGAAGAAGGCCUUCGGGUUGUAAAGCCCUUUUGUUGGGAAAGAAAAGCAGCAGGUUAAUACCCCGCUGUUCUGACGGUACCCAAAGAAUAAGCACCGGCUAACUUCGUG